Molecule: long non-coding RNA, 298 nt
Filed under: Durio zibethinus
Lineage: Eukaryota; Viridiplantae; Streptophyta; Magnoliopsida; Malvales; Malvaceae
Description: long non-coding RNA (DZIB_LNC002351)
Source: RNAcentral
GAAUGAUUCCCUUAGUCAUCGUGAUGAAACUCGAGACACCACAUGUUUAUCUUUUCUCCACUACAUGUACUCUCCAAAGGAGUUUCCUGCAGCAGGAGGAUAUUUCUGAGGAAGUUUCUUGCUGUGCUUUUUGGUUAUGACAAGUUCCACCAUGGAAUGAAUGAUCAAGGCAUAUUGGGCGGGACCCCUAUUCUUGGCUUUUCGUCUAAAUUAAAAGAUCAUAAUUAUAACUGCAUGCCAUUGGCGGGCCUGCCACUGCCUGCCACAAGGUCCCCAUGGCCACGGGGAUAACAAUGAG